RNAcentral lists this ribosomal RNA (162 nucleotides) under uncultured bacterium. Its description in RNAcentral is "partial 16S rRNA". It matches the Rfam family "Bacterial small subunit ribosomal RNA", at positions 355 to 511 of the family's 1533-position model. The record is from RNAcentral.
UAGGGAAUCUUCCACAAUGGACGAAAGUCUGAUGGAGCAACGCCGCGUGAGUGAGAAGGGUUUCGGCUCGUAAACUCUGUUGUUAAAGAAGAACAUAUCUGAGAGUAACUGUUCGGGUAUUGACGGUAUUUAACCAGAAAGCCACGGCUAACUACGUGCCAC